RNAcentral lists this ribosomal RNA (250 nucleotides) under uncultured bacterium. RNAcentral describes it as "partial 16S ribosomal RNA". It matches the Rfam family "Bacterial small subunit ribosomal RNA", at positions 524 to 773 of the family's 1533-position model. The record is from RNAcentral.
UACAGAGGGUGCGAGCGUUAAUCGGAAUGACUGGGCGUAAAGGGUGUGUAGGUGGGUUGUUAAGUGAGCUGUGAAAGCCCAGGGCUUAACCCUGGAACAGCAGCUCAUACUGAUGAUCUAGAGUAGGUGAGAGGAGUGUGGAAUUUCCGGUGUAGCGGUGAAAUGCGUAGAGAUCGGAAAGAACACCGGUGGCGAAGGCGGCACUCUGGUACCAUACUGACACUGAAACACGAAAGCGUGGGGAGCAAAC